CUACAACAGACCCACGUGUGGAAAUUCCGUUUCAUUUUAAGUUCCAUUGUGUGUUCUCAAAUUUCCCUCUGCACAAGGACCAACUAUACAGACAAUGGACAGAAUAUUUGAACUUCUGGCGGACGAUUCCGUUUUUUUGCAAGCCAAUUUCCAGCAACCCUAGUGUGUAAAUAUUAGCGUUGCUAUAAGCAGCUAAGCGAUCGUCCAACUGUUCUCUUAUAUCAAGGCAGGGUUGAAUGUUGAUAACUGGGCGCCGAUUUGCUCGUAACAACAUUGAGUUUGCCAGCAGUCAGUACUUGAAAAAAGUUACAUUCUGAAACGUUUACCUGUAGGCCUACAGUACGUAUGUUUGUCCUGUACAAUCGCGGUCCUUCCGCGCUGUGCUAAAAUUCCUAUUUAUUUUAUAAAAACGUAAACAAUACCUACUUUUUCUCACAUUUGUGUUGCUCACGUAGCGACCUCGAUGUAAGCGGAGAUACAAUUGUCACAUGAGCAUUCGCGCUGAGUUGCGCAACCCAAAUUAGGAAAAGGUCGGUGGUUGUAUUCGAUAAGGGUUUAUUAAACGUGUGAAUUUCGGAUCCCGCGGAAGGAACGCGGUUGUACAUAAACGGGUACAGUCACCAGCAACAGGUCUGGCUUGACCAGUUUAAGGCUUUCAUUCUGGUAUGUGUAUUUGAGGUACAGCCCACCCAAACCAGAAUGGUUUGAUGGAUGAAUCCAGACCACUGUAUAAGGGUAUCCAAUUGGUAGUUACAGUCUUGUCUCAUCGCUGCAACUCCCAUACGAACUCGGGAGAGGAGCAGGUCGAGAGCCGCGCGUCCAGCCAAGAUGCACUGCUUCUUGACACAACGCCCGCUUAACCGGGAAGCCAGCCGCACCAAUGUAUCGGAGGAAACACUGUACACCUGGCGACCGUGUCAGCGUGCAUUGUGCCCAGCCCGCCACAGGAGUCGCUAAUGGGAAAAAAGCAUCCCUGCUGGUCAAACCCUCCACUAACCCAGAAGACCCUGGGCCAAUUGUGCGCCGCCCCAUGGGUCUCCCGGUCGUGACAGAGCCUGGACUCGAACCAGGAGCUCUAGUGGCAAAGCUAGCACUGUGAUUCAGUGCCUUCGACCACUGCACCACUCGGGAAGCCACCCAAACAGAGCUUCUGGACAUCAGAACAGCGAUUACUCACCUCGAACUGGAUGAAGAUUCUUUCUUUAAUGAGUCUGAUGCGAAGGUUAUACUGCUUUCCCGAGACCAGGCCCAAAUCCCCGUCAUUCACGUGAAGAAAAGACUGAGAUACCGGGGGCGGAGGUUGGGGUGCCUUGUGAGAAUUCAUUGGCAAGUGGGUAAACCACCACUACCUUCCGUCCUAUUGGCCAACGUUUUCACUGGUAAAUAAACUGGAUGAUCUAUGAUCAAGACUAUUCUACCAACGGGACAUUAAAAACUGUAAUAUCUUAUGUUUUACGAGUCGUGGCUGAGCGACGACAUGGAUAAAAUAGAACUGGCUGGGUUUUCCGUGCAUUGGCAGGACAGAGCAGCUACGUCUGGUAAGACGAGGGGCGGGGGUGUACAAGACUAAGACUAAGAUUGAUACAAGACUAAGAUUGAAUCCUAUUACACCGGCUCUGACACUCGUCGGAUGUGGCAGGGCUUGCAAACUAUUACGGACUACAAAGGGAAACCCAGCCGCGAGCUGCCCAGUGACGCGAGCCUACCAGACGAGCUAAAUGCCUCGCUUCGAGGCAAGCAACACUGAAGCAUGCAUGAGAGCACCAGCUGUUCGGGAGGACUGUGUGGUCCCGCUCUCCAUUGCCAUUGUGAGCAAGACCUUUAAACAUCACAAGGCCACAGAGCCAGAUGGAUUUCCAGGACGUGUACUCAGAGCAUGCUUAGACCAACUGGCAAGUGUCUUCACUGACAUUUUUAACUUCUCGCUAAUAAUUCCACCACAUUUACAGUUGAAGUCGGAAGUAGGAAGCUCUCCACAAAAGGUUUGUGAACAUGCCUGCUAUCAAAUACAUUUAAUUCAAUUAUACAGAUGAAGUAGGAAGUUUAUAAUAAACUUAGGUUGGAGUCAUUAAAACUCAUUUUUCAACCACUCCACAAAUUUCUUGUUAACAAACUAUAGUUUUGGCAAGUCGGUUAGGACAUCUACUUUGUACAUGACACAAGUAAUUUUUCCAACAAUUGUUUACAGACAGAUUAUUUCACUUAUAAUUCACUGUAUCACAAUUCCAGUGGGUCAGAAGUGUACAAAUACUAACUUGACAGUGCCUUUAAAAAGCUUGGAAAAUUCCAGAAAAUUAUGUCAUGGCUUUAGAAGCUUCUGAUAGGCUAAUUGACAUAAUUUGAGUUGGAGGUGUACCCGUGGAUGUAUUUCAAGUCCUACCUUCAAACUCCGUGCCUCUUUGCUUGAUAUCAGCCAAGACCUCAGAAAAAAAUUGUAGACCUCCACAUGGUUCAUCCUUCGAAGCAAUUUCCAAACGCCUGAAGGUACCACGUUCAUCUGUACAAACAAUAGUACGCAAGUAUAAACACCAUGGGACCGUCAUACCCCUCAGGAAGGAGACGCAUUCUGUCUCCUAGAGAUGAAGGUACUUUGAUGCGUAAAGUGCAAAUCAAUCCCAGAACAGCAGCAAAGGACCUUGUGAAGAUGCUGGAGGAAACAUGUACAAAAGUAUCUAUAUCCACAGUAAAACAAGCCCUAUAUCGACAUAACCUGAAAGGCCGCUCAGCAAGGAAGAAGCCAUUGCUCCAAAACCGCCAUAAAAAGCUAGACUAUGGUUUGCAACUGCACAUGGAGAGAAAGAUCCUACUUUUUGGAGAAAUGUCCUCUGGUCUGAUGAAACAAAAAUAGAACUGCUUGGCCAUAAUGACCACCAUUAUGUUUGGAGGAAAAAGGGGGAGGCUUGCAAGCCAAAGAACACCAUCCCAUCCGUGAAGCACGGGGGUGGAAGCAUCAUGUUGUGGGGGUGCUUUGCUGCAGGAGGGACUGGUGCACUUCACAAAAUAGAUGGCAUCAUGAGGGAGAAAUUAUGUGGAUAUAUUGAAGCAACAUUUCAAGAUGUCAGUCAGGAAGUUAAAGCUUGGUCGCAAAUGGGUCUUCCAAAUGGACAAUGACCCCAAGCAUACUUCCAAAGUUGUGGCAAAAUGGCUUAAGGACAACAAAGUCCAGGUAUUAAAUGUCUGGAAUUGUGAAAAACUGAAUUUAAAUGUAUUUGGCUAAGGUGUAUGUAAACUUCCGACUUCAACUGUAUGUGUGAGGAAACCAUGAAUAAGGUCUAGAGCCGUUCCAUUAUUCCGAAUUUUAAUUGUGUGCCCUCUUAAAACCUCUUAGAUGCAAGGUCCCUUUUUAGCGGACCUGUGUGGUUCUGGUACCGGUUCUGUCUGACAUUUUUGCUUAUAAAUUGAUAUGUGGAUACCAUAGUGGAUAUCGAAAUGGCUUGCAUUGAGCGAUAGCCCUGGUUCCCACAUACACAGUAAUAUUUUUUCUGACCCCGUGUGACGUAUGAUGUGAAAUCUGAAACCACUUGAAGCUGGGAUGUCCCUCCUACCAUUUCAUUCGCUCUUCCGACUGUCCAUCAACUCCUGGCUGAACCCUACAUCACAGCCACUGACAAAGCACAUGCCUGCAAGCAUUAGGUCGUAGCGCAGCAGGAGGGAGUGGUUUCAUCAUGAUAGCACAUUCAGAGAUCGAUUUAUAUCCAUUAAUCAAAAAUAAAUAAUCGAUUUGAAACAAACAUUUUCUGUUUGCCACAGACGGACAAUAUUAACAUGAGAUGAAAGGUGAGUUCCUAGAGCUCUGUGAUAUGUUCACAAAGAUGGGGGCAGAAGUUUUGAUCAAGAGAGACCUUUAGAAAAUAUGCACAUUUUUACAUACAAAUAGGUAUUUACAGUUAUAAGGCAGGUGAAAUCUUAUAGUUAGUCGUUUUAUCAUUUCAUUAUGCUAUAUUUAGAAAGUAUAUGUCAUUUCAAGCCUUUUGUUGAAUAGGAAAUACAUCAUAUCAAAUAUUUCAUAUUUUUAUAAUAUUUGUACUGUGUACUUGAGCUAGUGUCCUCAAUAGUGACUAAACCUCAGCAAUUUAUAACUAUUUUUACCAGAAAGGUGAGAUUUUAACCUUUUCUUUGAGUAUACAGCAUUACUAGUUAUUGUUUAUGAUAAAUAAUUACUUUUGGGGAUUACAUAGAUGACAUUUUCGAUUACAUUUAACUGGAUAAUAUGCAUGGAUGAAAUUUUGACAUCCAAGCUAAGUAAUACCCAUAUAUAUAUUUAUUACUGCCACUUUGGUGUUAGUUUUCUUCAAUGAGUUGCUUACAUUUUGCAUCCUUCUAUUCCAUUUACAUUUAUUUCCUCUGCCAAGACCGUUUAAACAGUUCCUGAGGGUCUGAGUAUUAGUGGAUCAUAUUAGGCUAACGUUGUGCUUUAGGGACAUGCAGUGGUGUGUCAUCAUGGAUGCCAAGGGAAGCCAGGCUUCCCUCUGUAUGUGUACAGAGACACGACUUUGGUCCUGCGGUUUUACGUCCCUCACCCAUGCUUGCAUCGUCCAAUGGUCCCCCGCCCACUUCGCUUCCUUCAUUAAAAAUGUAUGGGCUUCCAAUGACCACGUUCACAUGCGCACAGUAUUGUGGAUAGUGGCUCAUAUCCCACUUAAGGUCUUAUUCGGGAUUAGCUGUUUCAAAUCAAAGUUUAUUUAUCACGUGCUCCAAAUACAACAGGUGUAGGUAGACCUUACAGUGAAAUACUUACUUAUAGGCUCUAACCAAUAGUGCAAAAAAAAGAUAUUAGGUGAACAAUAGGUAAGUAAAGAAAUAAAACAACAGUAAAAAGACAGGCUAUAUACAGUAGCGAGGCUACAUACAGACACCGGUUAGGCUGAUUGAGAUAGUAUGUACAUGUAGAUAUGGUUAAAGUGACUAUGCAUAUAUGAUGAACAGAGAGUAGCAGUAGCAUAAAAGAGGGGUUGGCGGGACACAAUGCAGAUAGCCUGGUAGUCCAAUGUGCGGGAGCACUUGUUGGUCGGCCCAAUUGAGGUAGUAUGUACAUGAAUGUAUCGUUAAAGUGACUAUGCAUAUAUGAUAAACAGAGAGUAGCAGCAACGUAAAAAGAGGGGUAGGAGGGCACACAAUGCAAAUAGUCCGGGUAGCCAUUUGAUUACCUGUUCAGGAGUCUUGUGAGUAAAAACUGUUGAACCUGUUAAGGCUUGGGGGUAAAAACUGUUGAGAAGCCUUUUUGUCCUAGACUUGGCACUCUGGUACCGCUUGCCAUGCGGUAGCAGAGAGAACAGUCUAUGACUGGGUUCUUUGACCAUUUUUAGGGGCUUCCUCUGACACCACCUGGUGUAGAGGUCCUGGAUGGCAGGCAGCUUAGCCCCAGUGAUGUACAGGGCCAUACGCACUACCCUCUGUAGUGCCUUGCAGUCAGAGGCCGAGCAAUUGCUGUACCAGGCAGUGAUGCAACCAGUGCGCUCAAUGUUGCAGCUGUACAACAUUUUGAGGAUCUCAGGACCCAUUUAUUUUUGUAUUUAACUUUUUUCAAUGACGGCCUAGGAACAGUGGGUUAACUGCCUUGUUCAGGGGCAGAACGACACAUUUUUACCUUGUCAGCUCAGGGAUUUGACAUUGCAACCUAUUGGUUACUAGUCAAAUGCUCUAACCACUAGGCUACCUGCCACCCCUGUAUCAAUGAAUGAACUGAAUAUUCCUCAAUUAAAUUCAUAUGGGUUAAAUGGAAUAGUAACUGAAAUGUGUAUUCACUGUAGGCCUAUAACCUCACAUGUAGUAUAAUAUCAUAUUAACUCCUGCAGAAUGAUGCAUUUUUUUGCAGGGAAAUUAUACAAUAAAUGUUCAUUUUGUCUUGGGAA
Molecule: long non-coding RNA, 5852 nt
Organism: Oncorhynchus nerka (sockeye salmon)
Lineage: Eukaryota; Metazoa; Chordata; Actinopteri; Salmoniformes; Salmonidae
Exons: 3
Source: RefSeq, a predicted model, not a curated record